GAAGCAGUACUGUAUGUGUGGCUAUUGAAUUUAAGGAUAUGGGCGAUGAAGGUCCAUCAACUAUAUUCUGAUAAAAAUAAAGUGCACUAACGAGGUUAAAAUUCUUUAAAGCCGUUAAACUGAAAAAAAAAAACACUCUUCCCUUACCUUUUUCUUCAUUUGUAAAGAGAAUAAGAUUGGACUGGAACUUUUACAGGUGCGUCUCAAAUCCAAUUUCCCAUUAAUUCUUUUUAUUAGAAAUUGUAACUAAUUUGGAAGGAUGGCGGUGAUAUCGGGAAUAGGGAUGUGUUCUACAUGAUCUGUAUUUUUUUUAGUAGGGGUUUCUUCUUUGCUUUUGAUAUGUUUUUUGUGGGAUGAUGGAACAUGGCACACCAGGUGUUCGACAUAUUGUCCAUGAGGUUCUUUUGGCGCAUUAGACAUCCAAUUUCAUUUUCUUCUCUUUCUAUACAGGAGAUUCAACCAAGUCUUUGAUUGUUUAAGAUUUUUAAGUUUAUGUUCUUUUAUAUAUGUAGUAUUAAACUAAACUGUAGAUACACAUACCCCCACCUGAUGGAAAUAUGUUGACUAACGUCUUAGAUUGGAUUAACAUAUAAUUUUACAAAGACAAUGUAAUUUUUCAGGAUGUGUGUAUGUUGCUUGUUCUAGUGUUGUGACCAAUAGUUAAUUCAUAGAUGCAAUAUGAUGAAGAUGACAAUGAAAAAGAUUAUGGUCUAAGAGGGAAAGCUUGGGAGCUUGUUGAUCCCAAAAGUACCCAAACAUCCGUCUCAGUUUAG
Molecule: long non-coding RNA, 773 nt
Filed under: Lactuca sativa (garden lettuce)
Lineage: Eukaryota; Viridiplantae; Streptophyta; Magnoliopsida; Asterales; Asteraceae
Description: long non-coding RNA (LSAT_LNC001784)
Source: RNAcentral